AAUGCCCUGCUUCCAGGAAAAGCCUCUAAGCAUCAGGUAACACGAAAUCGUACCCCAAACCGACACAGGUGGUCAGGUAGAGAAUACCAAGGCGCUUGAGAGAACUCGGGUGAAGGAACUAGGCAAAAUGGUGCCGUAACUUCGGGAGAAGGCACGCUGAUAUGUAGGUGAAGUGAUUUACUCAUGGAGCUGAAAUCAGUCGAAGAUACCAGCUGGCUGCAACUGUUUAUUAAAAACACAGCACUGUGCAAACACGAAAGUGGACGUAUACGGUGUGACGCCUGCCCGGUGCCGGAAGGUUAAUUGAUGGGGUUAUCCCUCGGGAGAAGCUCUUGAUCGAAGCCCCGGUAAACGGCGGCCGUAACUAUAACGGUCCUAAGGUAGCGAAAUUCCUUGUCGGGUAAGUUCCGACCUGCACGAAUGGCGUAAUGAUGGCCAGGCUGUCUCCACCCGAGACUCAGUGAAAUUGAACUCGCUGUGAAGAUGCAGUGUACCCGCGGCAAGACGGAAAGACCCCGUGAACCUUUACUAUAGCUUGACACUGAACACUGGUCCUUGAUGUGUAGGAUAGGUGGGAGGCUUUGAAGUGCGGACGCCAGUCUGCAUGGAGCCGCCCUUGAAAUACCACCCUUUAAUGGCUGGUGUUCUAACGUGGGCCCGUAAUCCGGGUUGCGGACAGUGUCUGGUGGGUAGUUUGACUGGGGCGGUCUCCUCCUAAAGAGUAACGGAGGAGCACGAAGGUCAGCUAAUCCUGGUCGGACAUCAGGAGGUUAGUGCAAUGGCAUAAGCUGGCUUGACUGCGAGCGUGACGGCGCGAGCAGGUGCGAAAGCAGGUCAUAGUGAUCCGGUGGUUCUGAAUGGAAGGGCCAUCGCUCAACGGAUAAAAGGUACUCCGGGGAUAACAGGCUGAUACCGCCCAAGAGUUCAUAUCGACGGCGGUGUUUGGCACCUCGAUGUCGGCUCAUCACAUCCUGGGGCUGAAGUAGGUCCCAAGGGUAUGGCUGUUCGCCAUUUAAAGUGGUACGCGAGCUGGGUUUAGAACGUCGUGAGACAGUUCGGUCCCUAUCUGCCGUGGGCGCUGGAGAACUGAGGGGGGCUGCUCCUAGUACGAGAGGACCGGAGUGGACGCAUCACUGGUGUUCGGGUUGUCAUGCCAAUGGCACUGCCCGGUAGCUAAAUGCGGAAGAGAUAAGUGCUGAAAGCAUCUAAGCACGAAACUUGCCCCGAGAUGAGUUCUCCCUGACUCCUUGAGAGUCCUGAAGGAACGUUGAAGACGACGACGUUGAUAGGCCGGGUGUGUAAGCGCAGCGAUGCGUUGAGCUAACCGGUACUAAUGAACCGUGAGGCUUAACCUU
Molecule: ribosomal RNA, 1355 nt
Filed under: Citrobacter koseri
Lineage: Bacteria; Pseudomonadati; Pseudomonadota; Gammaproteobacteria; Enterobacterales; Enterobacteriaceae
Description: bacterial LSU rRNA
Rfam family: Bacterial large subunit ribosomal RNA
Source: RNAcentral